This is a non-coding RNA of Coffea arabica (coffee), 1045 nucleotides long. The record is from RefSeq and is a predicted model, not a curated record. Lineage: Eukaryota; Viridiplantae; Streptophyta; Magnoliopsida; Gentianales; Rubiaceae.
CGACCAGUUGGCGCGGGUAGAACGGCCGAUGACCGUCCAUAGGCAAUUUGCGAGAAAGUGGAAGAGCGACAUGGGUUUAGCAUUCGUCCAGUGGGCUGCACGAGUGCUUAAGAUCUAACGAGUACGGCGAGUCGCUGAGUCACAGACUCGGAAGCGACGGAGAAGAGAACCAUGGCUGGGAUUCACCGGGCGUUUCGAAGCAUCCAGACGGCAGUAGAAUAUCCACGUCUCACCAGAUUCUCUCUUAAAGCUCCAAAGAGCGUGGAGGUACAAUUUGAUGAUGGAAGUCUUUACAGUUUGCCAGCUGAGUAUUUAAGAGUUUAUAGCCCUGCUGCUGACAGUAAGGUCAGAUCCGUUGCGGGUGAGAAGGUCUGCAGUUUUUCUCAAAAUGGAGUACCUUUAAAAUUGCAUUUCCUUGUUUUCGGCAUUGAGUAUUUACAGUCCACAAAACAAAGAUAAUGCCUAUGGAAACUUGGCCAGAUAGCAGAACCAUUCAAGCAUCAAUCUUGAGUAAUGCCUAACGGGGCAUUUUGUGUCCGAAUCAGGUAAUAUAUGGACGUCGUUAUGUGGGGAUCCUGUCAGCAGAACCUGUAGGGAACUAUGGGGUAAGGUUACUCUUUGAUGACCUGCAUAAGACUGGGAUAUUCACUUGGGAUUACUUUUAUCACCUUGGGAGCAACAAGUUCACCAUGAUGAGAAAUUACAUCACGACUCUGAAGAAGCAUGGAUUAAGCAGAGAUCCAUUAAAAAAGAAAGUGAAAGCAAAGUUUUUCUCACUGCCAACCUGGCAAGAAGCAAUGCUAGAUAUAGGUAUGCUGUAUUGUUGAAGUCUACUUCCUGUCUCUUUGACAAAAGGGAUGCUUGCUAUUUGAAAUUUCAUCUUGGAAUUUUUUUUCUGUCUCCUCUGUGUUUAAUAUAUUCUGUGAUAAUCAUCAGUUAAAACCUUCUGUUGAUUUCUGUUCUUUUUGGUAUUUGGGACGAAAUUUUGAUACAUUCAACAACCUGAGGAUCUUUAUACAGAAUUUUAUCUGAUUGUAUCUGUCAU